This 515-nucleotide ribosomal RNA is filed under the name uncultured bacterium. RNAcentral describes it as "partial 16S ribosomal RNA". It matches the Rfam family "Bacterial small subunit ribosomal RNA", at positions 28 to 523 of the family's 1533-position model. The record is from RNAcentral.
GAUGAACGCUGGCGGCGUACCUAAUACAUGCAAGUCGAGCGAAUGGAUUGAGAGCUUGCUCUUAUGAAGUUAGCGGCGGACGGGUGAGUAACACGUGGGUAACCUGCCCAUAAGACUGGGAUAACUCCGGGAAACCGGGGCUAAUACCGGAUAACAUUUUGAACCGCAUGGUUCGAAAUUGAAAGGCGGCUUCGGCUGUCACUUAUGGAUGGACCCGCGUCGCAUUAGCUAGUUGGUGAGGUAACGGCUCACCAAGGCAACGAUGCGUAGCCGACCUGGGAGGGUGAUCGGCCAGACUGGGACUGAGACACGGCCCAGACUCCUACGGGAGGCAGCAGUAGGGAAUCUUCCGCAAUGGACGAAAGUCUGACGGAGCAACGCCGCGUGAGUGAUGAAGGCUUUCGGGUCGUAAAUCUCUGUUGUUAGGGAAGAACAAGUGCUAGUUGAAUAAGCUGGCACCUUGACGGUACCUAACCAGAAAGCCACGGCUAACUACGUGCCAGCCGCCGCCGUAA